This 253-nucleotide ribosomal RNA is filed under the name uncultured bacterium. Its description in RNAcentral is "partial 16S ribosomal RNA". It matches the Rfam family "Bacterial small subunit ribosomal RNA", at positions 524 to 776 of the family's 1533-position model. The record is from RNAcentral.
UACGGAGGGGGCUAGCGUUGUUCGGAAUUACUGGGCGUAAAGCGCGCGUAGGCGGCUUUGUAAGUUAGAGGUGAAAGCCCAGAGCUUAACUCUGGAAUUGCCUUUAAGACUGCAUCGCUAGAAUCGUGGAGAGGUAAGUGGAAUUCCGAGUGUAGAGGUGAAAUUCGUAGAUAUUCGGAAGAACACCAGUGGCGAAGGCGACUUACUGGACACGUAUUGACGCUGAGGUGCGAAAGCGUGGGGAGCAAACAGG